GAAAGUUCCGCAGUAUCUUCUCUCUGAACGGUUUCAUGGCGAUAAACAAAAUCUGAAUUUAUCUUUCACUCUUGGAGUCUGAUGCUCCUGGGAGUGACCGGCGUGCGCGUGCACACCAAUUACUGCCAUUCUCUGGGCCGGUCUUUCCUACAGGCGACAUAGGCGGUUGCCUAGGGCGCCAUUCAGAGGGGGGCGCCAAAAACUACGCAGAGCAAAAAAUAAAAUAAAA
Long non-coding RNA from Platichthys flesus (European flounder), 229 nucleotides. RefSeq lists it as uncharacterized. NCBI's taxonomy places the organism in Eukaryota, Metazoa, Chordata, Actinopteri, Pleuronectiformes, Pleuronectidae. The transcript is spliced from 3 exons. The record is from RefSeq and is a predicted model, not a curated record.